GGAAGGUUUAGUUGGGUAUAUAUAAUUAUAAAUCCAGUCAGGUCUGAAAAGAAGCAGCUGUAAUAUUUAUGUGUAGGUCGACUUACCUUCCUAA
Molecule: signal recognition particle RNA, 94 nt
Filed under: Rickettsiales bacterium
Lineage: Bacteria; Pseudomonadati; Pseudomonadota; Alphaproteobacteria; Rickettsiales
Description: signal recognition particle sRNA small type
Rfam family: Bacterial small signal recognition particle RNA (bases 7-89)
About the family: The signal recognition particle (SRP) is a universally conserved ribonucleoprotein involved in the co-translational targeting of proteins to membranes.
Source: RNAcentral